AUGUUUUUUCUUAACUGCAAAGUCUACCAGAUCCCUCUCAGCAAUGCCCCGUUUUGCAUCUUCUCAAGAGUCCAGACUUUCACACAGCAGAGCACCUGUGGUAAUAAUCUCUUCUUCCAUACACUAAAGUGCAUUGUCUAGUUAUAGGAUAUAGAUAUGUGCCCAUCAGGGCUCAGAACCUUUAGUGAAAGUUUCUAUUUCUGAUUUUAUUUCAUGCUUCCUCUUAUUUUGGAAUGGAUUCUCUCACUUCACUCUUCCUCUCCCAUCCCCCAUUCCUGCCAGCAUGUUGUCAUAUUUGAUUGAGUAUAUCAGUAAUAUAAACUGAUGAGCUGCAUAGAAAUAUGAUGUAGAUAUAAAGGCAUUCAUCAAACAAGUUUAGAGUGGCCCCAAGUUUAAAAAAUAAUUAUAAAUAGACUUGUCAUGAAACUCCAUUUUAGCAGACAGCGUGACAACAAAAUAGGCAGAAUACUGUCUAAUAGACUUAGGUUGCUGGCAUAGCUACCAUAUCCAUCAUGUUUGCUACCAUGUCUCUGAUUUCAAAUAUAAUAUUUUCUCCACUCCUGGCCACGUAUCAGAUAUUCUUCAUUUAUUCAACAUAGUCAUCAAAUUCUUAAAGCAAAUGGUAUUCCUAUUUCCCAACCAAGUGAUUGUCACUAGCAAAAUGGUGGUAUUGUGAACAGUAGUAGUAGUAAUAAUAGAUAGCUUUUAUUGGGUACAAAUCUGUCUACCCGAUUGAAUGCUUUAUGUACCAUCAUAAUAGUCCUAUAAUCAUCACUAUCGUCCUAUAAGUCUUUGAUGCCUGUGCCUUUGCCUAAAUAUACCAUAAAAUAGCUCUUUCUUUUCAUGAAAUUCCACUUCAUGUCCUUCCUUUGUAGUCCUUGUCAUCUGGCUCCUGCCUCAUCACUCUGUUGAUACUAAUCACCAAUAGCCAUCUUAUUAACCAAUUCAAAAGCUUCUCUCGUUUUCUUAUCCUGUUUGGUCUUUCCUCCUGGGUUUUAUUUUACAUUUCUGACUAUUAUCUCAUUAAUUAACUUUUCUAAUAAUUAUUACAACACUUAUUUGAUAGAUAAAGGAGUUGAGUCUUCCAUGGGUUAAAUAACUUGUCCAGGGUUACACAGCUAGUAAGUGAAAGAGCCAGGGUCGACAACUCUAGUGUUCAGAUUUUUUACCCCACUAAGCAAUCCCAAAUCCCAAAACUCAAACUUCACAGUUAUUUAACCAACUCUACUCCACAGAUAUUUGCCUCCACUUCACCUGGGCACAUCAUUCCCAUGGCCAUGCUUUGUGGACUUGAAGUUCCAAGAUCAUAAACUAAAACUGUGAUUUACUAAUCACAACAGUUCCCCUGUAAUUAUGCCUCCUUUUUAUCAUUUGUUUAUUUUUAUUGUAUGUAUUUAAGGUGUAUAACAUGAUGUUUUGAUAUACAUAUGCAUAGUGAAAUAAUUGCUACACUCAAGCAGAUUAACUUAUUCAUUACUCACAGUUAUCUUUUUUAAAAUGCUAAAAGUAUCUACAAUCGACUCUUAGCAAAUUUUCAGUAUAUGAUACAACAUAAUUAACAGUAGUCCUCACGCUGUACCUUGGAUCUAUAGACUUAGUCAUCUUACUUAACUAUAAAUUUAUAUCGUUUGGCCUACAUCUCCUUAUUCUGUCCUAUUCCUCCCACCCAUGGUAAUUACCAUUUUACUGUCUGUUUCUAUGUAUUAGCCUCUGUUCAGAUUUAACAUAUAAGUGGGAUGAUACAGUAUUUUUCUUUCUGUUUCUGACUUAUUACACUUAGAAUAAGUGAUCUUAGAUUAAGGAUCUCUAAGUGAUCCUUAGAAUAAGGCUCUCCAAUUUCAUCCACAGUAUCAUAAAUGGCAGAUUUUUCUUUUAUUUUUAAGGCUGAGUAGUAUUCCAUUGUGUAUAUAUACCAGUCAUCCACUGAUGAACACUUAGUUUGUAUCCAUAUCUUGAUCGUUGUGACUAAUGCUGCAAUGAACGUGGGAGUGCAGUCAUCUCUGAGGUGCUAAUUUCAUUUCUUUGACUAUUUCGCCAGAUGAGGGGUUGCUAGAUCAUAUGGUAGUUCCAUUUUUAAUUUUUUGAGCAACCUCCAUACUGUUUUAAUUAACAGCUAUACCAAUUUACAUUCCCACCAAGCCGUCUUCUUAAAUAAUUUUAGUACAACUCUAUUCCAUUUCUUCAAGUCUCCUCUCGCUGGUCAAACUGCUGCAUUUGCCCUGUUAAUCUGGUACUACAUUCAUCCACCCACUCUGUUUCUGAAUAGAUAGAUGCUCUGCUGGAAAAAGGGUAUUUUGUCGUGACAUCCUUAGUGCUAUUAAACUCCGUAUUCCUGUCCACUCCCUUUGCUCCUUCCCCUAAACCCACCACUCCACUGAUGUCACUUUACUCCCAACAGGUGAUAGAGUCUUUUCUCCAGCAUAAUAAAGACCAUGGAAGAUGAAACCACCGUAUUUUCCUCUCUUCUUCCUCCAAGCUUAUUUUCACUUAUCUUCACCUUCCCACAUCUACAUUUCAAACUUGGCUGUACAUUAGAAUCCCCUGCGGAAAUGGUAUGAUUCCC
Macaca mulatta (Rhesus monkey) is the source of this 2563-nucleotide long non-coding RNA. The record is from Ensembl. NCBI's taxonomy places the organism in Eukaryota, Metazoa, Chordata, Mammalia, Primates, Cercopithecidae.